RNAcentral lists this ribosomal RNA (345 nucleotides) under uncultured Glomeromycotina. Its description in RNAcentral is "SSU rRNA". It matches the Rfam family "Eukaryotic small subunit ribosomal RNA", at positions 569 to 921 of the family's 1831-position model. The record is from RNAcentral. Lineage: Eukaryota; Fungi; Glomeromycota.
AGCAGCCGCGGUAAUUCCAGCUCCAAUAGCGUAUAUUAAAGUUGUUGACAGUUAAAAAGCUCGUAGUUGAAUUUCGGGGUCAGUAGGUUGGUCAUGCCUCCGGUAUGUACUGGUCUCACUGAUUCCUCCUUCCUGAUGAGCCGUAAUGCCAUUAAUUUGGUGUUGCGGGGAAUCUGGACUGUUACUUGAAAAAUUGAGUGUUUAAAGCAAGCUAACGCUUGAAUACAUUAGCAUGGAAUAAUGGAAUAGGACGUUCGAUCCUAUUUUGUUGGUUCUAGGAUUGACGUAAUGAUUAAUAGGGAUAGUUGGGGGCAUUAGUAUUCAAUUGUCAGAGGUGAAAUUCUU